Molecule: transfer RNA, 96 nt
Organism: Pneumocystis jirovecii
Lineage: Eukaryota; Fungi; Ascomycota; Pneumocystomycetes; Pneumocystales; Pneumocystaceae
Rfam family: tRNA
About the family: Transfer RNA (tRNA) molecules are approximately 80 nucleotides in length. Their secondary structure includes four short double-helical elements and three loops (D, anti-codon, and T loops).
Source: Rfam
GCCUUCGUGGCACAACUGGUCAGCGCGUGAGACUUUUAUGUGGCACUUCCUCUAAGAGGAAUCUCAAGGUUGCGAGUUCGAGCCUCGCCGAAGGCG